GUACAUCCAAAAAGCGGCUCAAGAACAAGUGAAGAUAGACUGCGAGACAACAAACAUUACGACCAUUGGAUUAUGUCCAAAUUCAACAACACAUCUAAUGUAAUAUGGUCGCAUUAUAUCAACAAUACAACAGCUAAUUAACACCUUUUUUUCGCUUUCUCCUCAUCAUCUAGAUCUCGUUUCCCUUUGCAAAGAGUUAAAUUGAGGAAAAUCUCCAAAUAGUCAUUUUCAUCGUCAUAUGGCGAAACAUCACACCACUUGAAAUGCUUACAGUCACGGUACAGCAAUAGAACAUCCAUCCUUUGUUUGCACUAUUU
RNAcentral lists this long non-coding RNA (317 nucleotides) under Olea europaea (common olive). RNAcentral describes it as "long non-coding RNA (OEUR_LNC006347)". The record is from RNAcentral. Lineage: Eukaryota; Viridiplantae; Streptophyta; Magnoliopsida; Lamiales; Oleaceae.